AACCAUAGAAACCUGCGGAGUACCUGCGGAGGGAUCAUUAAAAAGAGUGUGUACCCCCCUGUAAAAUGGGUGGGUUACCUCCCGUCCUUUGUUGACCUCUUAGGAGGUUAUUUUGAACUUUUCUGCUUCGGUGGGGUUAAACCUACCGGAACACCCUCAAAUUCUGAUCAUUUAAAAAUUGUUCAGUCCGAUUUUUGUUAAUAAAAACAAAAAACUUUCAGCAACGGAUCUCAGAUCGGA
Molecule: unclassified non-coding RNA, 240 nt
Filed under: soil metagenome
Description: partial contains 5.8S ribosomal RNA, internal transcribed spacer 2, and large subunit ribosomal RNA
Source: RNAcentral